UGCCAGCAGCCGCGGUAAUACGGAGGGUGCAAGCGUUGUCCGGAUUUAUUGGGUUUAAAGGGUGCGCAGGCGGAGCGCUAAGUCAGUGGUGAAAUCCCGCAGCUCAACUGCGGAACUGCCAUUGAUACUGGCGCCCUUGAGUACAGACGAGGUAGGCGGAAUUUAUGGUGUAGCGGUGAAAUGCAUAGAUACCAUAAAGAACACCGAUAGCGAAGGCAGCUUACUAGACUGUAACUGACGCUCAUGCACGAAAGCGUGGGGAGCGAACAGGAUUAGAUA
Molecule: ribosomal RNA, 279 nt
Filed under: uncultured bacterium
Lineage: Bacteria
Description: partial 16S ribosomal RNA
Rfam family: Bacterial small subunit ribosomal RNA
Source: RNAcentral